Molecule: unclassified non-coding RNA, 215 nt
Filed under: uncultured Ascomycota
Lineage: Eukaryota; Fungi; Ascomycota
Description: sequence contains ITS1
Source: RNAcentral
CAGUGCCUGCCGGGGUACCGCGUCUUGGGGCGCGGUUACCCCGCAACCGGCCAUCCUUGUCUACCGUUCCUUUGUUGCCUCGGCGGGCCCGCCUCCAGUGGCCACCGGGGGGAGCGCGUACCCACGCGUCCCUGGUUCGUGCCCGCCGCAGGAUAUUUUUUCGAACCCUUGUGGAAGUGUAGCGAUGUCUUAAGUCCUAGUGAAAUACAGUUUUA